Molecule: long non-coding RNA, 485 nt
Filed under: Pongo abelii (Sumatran orangutan)
Lineage: Eukaryota; Metazoa; Chordata; Mammalia; Primates; Hominidae
Description: lincRNA
Source: RNAcentral
AGCAAACAUGUGCUUUUUAAUUCUGCUUCCUGUUUGGAGGUCAACUGCAGUGAGGUCUCUAUACCACAGAGUGGUGCGUCCCCAAGUCCUGGUGAACUUAGGAAAUGGGCAUUAUCCUCUGAAACAUGUUUAUAGAGGUGACUUUUUUAGUAAAUCCCUGGGACUCUUGUUGACAUGGGAGUUACUUUCUUCCCUCAAUUGUUGGCGUCUCACACGGUCAUUCAUCAGCUCAAUACAAACAAGUCUUCACACAGUUGGAGUUUCCUCCUCACCUGUUGCUGAACCAGGCAGCGUGGAUUGGCAUAUUCACUGACUUCAUGGCACGAAGGCCUACAAAAGCGGAACAACUCUUCACCAGUGCAAAAAUGUUCUAAAAGAUACUCUCUCUGUCCAAUACACUUGUAAGUGCAUUCUAGAAUAUAAAAAAUAGAGAGAGAUAAAUGUUCUGUUGAAAGAUAAUCUCCCAAAAUAUAAGCUUUUAUGUA